GCGGCGCUAGAGCAGGCGAGAUGACGGGGCUAGAGUGGCCGGUCCGACCCGCCGCCCGGCCGGAAGUGCCUGGUAGGGUCCCCGCUGGCGUUACGAAGUUCCGGCUCGGGUAGCUGAGCUCGAGCUCGUACGUAGGCCGCUUUGAAGCCGCGGCGAAGUGCAGUGGAGCUGCUCAGGAUGGUCACGGACGUGCAGCUCGCCAUAUUUGCCAACAUGCUGGGCGUGUCGCUCUUCUUGCUUGUCGUUCUCUAUCACUACGUGGCUGUCAACAAUCCCAAGAAACAGGAAUGAAAGUGGCGCUUUCUCUGCCCCAGGGUUCCAGGACAUAGUCUGAGGCCAGAUGGAGGGAGUGAGGGGCCUUCACACUUCACCUCAUCCCUUCUGCCCAUCACAACAUACAAAGCAACUACACCCGGAUUUUUCCAAACAAGUUUUAUUUCCUCAAAGUCUUCUUAACCUUAUGGAACGAGAAGCUGUCACUGAAUAGGGUCCAGUAUGGGGGCUGCUUUCUUUUCUACUCUCUCCCCCCAAAUACAAAAAUAUAGAUAUAUAUA
Molecule: non-coding RNA, 554 nt
Organism: Heterocephalus glaber (naked mole-rat)
Lineage: Eukaryota; Metazoa; Chordata; Mammalia; Rodentia; Bathyergidae
Source: RefSeq, a predicted model, not a curated record